GUGCCAGCAGCCGCGGUAAUACGUAGGUGGCAAGCGUUGUCCGGAAUUACUGGGCGUAAAGAGCGCGUAGGCGGGAAGUAAAGUCAGGAGUGUAAACUGACGGCUCAACCGGGAGAUUGCCUCUGAAACUGGCAUUCUUGAGGGCAUGAGAGGUAAGCGGAAUUCCGAGUGUAGCGGUGAAAUGCGUAGAUAUUCGGAGGAACACCAGUGGCGAAGGCGGCUCCCUGGCAUACAACUGACGCUGAGGCGCGAAAGCGUGGGGAGCAAACGGGAUUAGAUACCCCGGUAGUCCACGCCGUAA
This 301-nucleotide ribosomal RNA is filed under the name uncultured bacterium. RNAcentral describes it as "bacterial SSU rRNA". It matches the Rfam family "Bacterial small subunit ribosomal RNA", at positions 505 to 805 of the family's 1533-position model. The record is from RNAcentral.